GACGAACGCUGGCGGCGUGCUUAACACAUGCAAGUCGAACGGAAAGGCCCUGCUUUUGUGGGGUGCUCGAGUGGCGAACGGGUGAGUAACACGUGAGUAACCUGCCCUCGACUUUGGGAUAACUUCCGGAAACUGGGGCUAAUACCGGAUAGGAGCUCCUGCUGCAUGGUGGGGGUUGGAAAGUUUCGGCGGUUGGGGAUGGACUCGCGGCUUAUCAGCUUGUUGGUGGGGUAGUGGCUUACCAAGGCUUUGACGGGUAGCCGGCCUGAGAGGGUGACCGGCCACAUUGGGACUGAGAGACGGCCCAGACUCCUACGGGAGGCAGCAGUGGGGAAUAUUGCACAAUGGGCGGAAGCCUGAUGCAGCAACGCCGCGUGCGGGAUGACGGCCUUCGGGUUGUAAACCGCUUUCGCCUGUGACGAAGCGUGAGUGACGGUAAUGGGUAAAGAAGCACCGGCUAACUACGUG
This 468-nucleotide ribosomal RNA is filed under the name uncultured bacterium. Its description in RNAcentral is "partial 16S ribosomal RNA". It matches the Rfam family "Bacterial small subunit ribosomal RNA", at positions 28 to 507 of the family's 1533-position model. The record is from RNAcentral.